GACGAACGCUGGCGGCGUGCCUAAUACAUGCAAGUGGGACGCAAGGGAACACACUGUGCUUGCACACCGUGUUUUCUUGAGUCGCGAACAGGUGAGUAACGCGUAGGUAACCUGCCUAUUAGCGGGGGAUAACUAUUGGAAACGAUAGCUAAUACCGCAUAAUAUUAAUUAUUGCAUGAUAAUUGAUUGAAAGAUGCAAGCGCAUCACUAGUAGAUGGACCUGCGUUGUAUUAGCUAGUUGGUAAGGUAAGAGCUUACCAAGGCGACGAUACAUAGCCGACCUGAGAGGGUGAUCGGCCACACUGGGACUGAGACACGGCCCAGACUCCUACGGGAGGCAGCAGUGGGGAAUCUUCGGCAAUGGACGAAAGUCUGACCGAGCAACGCCGCGUGAGUGAAGAAGGUUUUCGGAUCGUAAAGCUCUGUUGUAAGUCAAGAACGUGUGUGAGAGUGGAAAGUUCACACAGUGACGGAGCUACCAGAAAG
RNAcentral lists this ribosomal RNA (486 nucleotides) under Streptococcus mutans. Its description in RNAcentral is "bacterial SSU rRNA". It matches the Rfam family "Bacterial small subunit ribosomal RNA", at positions 28 to 490 of the family's 1533-position model. The record is from RNAcentral. Lineage: Bacteria; Bacillati; Bacillota; Bacilli; Lactobacillales; Streptococcaceae.